UAUCUGGAGAUCACUCUUCUUGGAGUCCUUGUGUGAGACCAGGAUGUGGGAAGUCAAAUACAAGAAGAGCAGCAGAGUCUUGAAGAUCAUUUGGCUGUUUUCCCCAUGCUAGUCCUCACCAAAGGAAAAAUUAACUUCAAGAAGUUAGAUGCAAUGCAUGACAACAACUGGGAUGGAGCCAAGGCAAAUGUUCUAGGCAUAUUGCCUGGAUAUAUUCAGAUUUCAAGGAGGUAGUGUCAACUUCAGCUUCAAAUUUAGGAAAGAAUUCUUCAGUAUACAGAAAUAGAAGUAAAUAGAGAACACCAGAAUCAACUCUGGUUCUGCAGAGAAGUUCCAUGGUAGUGAAAUGGCUCUGUCACUUCCUGCAUUCUUCACACUUUUGUUAUUAAAGUGUUCUGCCUCCCAAGAAUCAUUUGCUGAAGGAUGAGAUACAUACUGUGCCUCUCAGUAUAUAUGAGAGGAUGGUUUUAAUUGAUAUUUCUUGGAACAAAGCUUUGCUUUAAGAAAAAAUAUGAACGGAUUAGUCAGAGUACCAGUGGAUUGUCUUCAUGAGGUGCUUCAAGAAAUCAACUAAUUAUAAGCUGAACACAACAUAAGUCAUCUUGUUAUGUGUGUUAAGAGCUUUGGGAUCAAAUACUCCAUACUAUACCUUAAUACGUUUUAAACUCCUGGCGACAAACAGAUGGAGUGUUGUGUUCAGUGCAUUUCUUCAGAGUUUCUAAAUCUGCCUGAUGGGAAUUCCGUUACCUGCACCAGCUGUACAUCUGACCUCUUUGACUUCUACUUGCCAGGCUCAGAAUAAAUGAGGCAGCACUGGCUUGUAUUUAAAAUAAAGUAUAUGUAAAUAUGGACAUAUCUGACAUGUUGCUGCAGCGCCUAUUUAAAAUGUGUGCUCUCUGGUAUAACCCUUGUACCCAUAACUAUAAAGUCUUUCAAACUGUCUAUCAAUAAAAUAUUUUUAUGUCUU
Long non-coding RNA from Gallus gallus (chicken), 967 nucleotides. The record is from Ensembl. Lineage: Eukaryota; Metazoa; Chordata; Aves; Galliformes; Phasianidae.